Molecule: ribosomal RNA, 1935 nt
Filed under: human gut metagenome
Description: bacterial LSU rRNA
Rfam family: Bacterial large subunit ribosomal RNA
Source: RNAcentral
UUAAGCUACUAAGAGCAUAGGGUGAAUGCCUUGGCACCAAGAGCCGAUGAAGGACGUGAUAAGCUGCGAAAAGCUACGGGGAGGAGCAAAUAUCCAUUAUAUCCAUAGAUAUCCGAAUGAGGAAACUCAACUGGUGGAAAAAGACCAGUUAUCCAUACAUAAGUAAAGUAGUGUAUGUGAAGGGAACGUGGGGAACUGAAACAUCUAAGUACCCACAGGAAAAGAAAGAAAACUCGAUUCCUUGAGUAGUGGCGAGCGAAAGAGGAAGAGCCUAAACCAGAAGAAGUAAUUCUACUGGGGUUAUGGACUACAUAAUUGAUUCAUGAGAUUUAGCAGAACUGUUUGGAAAAUCAGACCAAAGAUAGUGAAAGUCUAGUAAGCGAAAAAUCAAAUGACAUGGUAGUAUCCAGAGUAGUGCGAGACACGGGAAAUCUCGUAUGAAAAAUGGGGGACCACCCCCAAAGGCUAAAUACUACUUGGUGACCGAUAGUGAAGCAGUACCGUGAGGGAAAGGUGAAAAGAACCCCGGGAGGGGAGUGAAAGAGAACCUGAAACCCUAUGUUUACAAGCAGACAAAGCACGUUAAGGUGCGAUGUCGUACUUUUUGUAGAACGGUCCGGCGAGUUAUUUUAUAUGGCAAGGUUAAGUACUUAAGGUACGAAGCCGAAGAGAAAUCGAGUCUGAACAGGGCGACUAAGUCAUAUGAAAUAGACCCGAAACCGGGUGACCUAUCCAUGGUCAGGUUGAAGCUUGAGUAAAAUCAAGUGGAGGACCGAACCCAUAAGCGUUAAAAAGCUUCGGGAUGAACUGUGGAUAGCGGAGAAAUUCCAAUCGAACUCGGAGAUAGCUGGUUCUCCUCGAAAUAGUUUUAGGACUAGCCUUGUUUAGUAGUACGUGGGGGUAGAGCACUGAAGGAGCUAGGGGCCAAACCAGGUUACCGAACUCUAUCAAACUCCGAAUACCAUGUAUGUAAGAACAGGAGUCAGACUGUGGGAGCUAAGUUCCAUGGUCAAAAGGGAAAGAGCCCAGAUCGUCAAUUAAGGUCCCAAAGAUAUAGUUAAGUGGAAAACGAUGUGAUUUUGCGUAAACAACCAGGAUGUUGGCUUAGAAGCAGCCAUUCAUUUAAAGAGUGCGUAAUAGCUCACUGGUCGAGUGAAGUUGCGCGGAAAAUUACCGGGGCUAAACUAUACACCGAAAUUGCGGAUUCAUACGUAAGUAUGAGUGGUAGAGGAGCAUUCUGUUGUAGGACGAAGCAUGAUCGAAAGGACAUGUGGACGAAGCAGAAGAGAGAAUGCCGGAAUAAGUAGCGAAAGCAUGGUGAGAAUCCAUGCCAUCGAAAGUCUAAGGUUUCCUGGGGAAGGUUCGUCCGCCCAGGGUAAGUCGGGACCUAAGGUGAGGCCGAAAGGCGUAGCCGAUGGACAGCAGGUAGAAAUUCCUGCACCACCGAUAUACUUAAAAAGCACAAGGGACACAGGAGUGGAAGAGAAGCGAGGAAGAGGAAAAACUCGUAUCGAAAGAUAUAGUGAAAAUAAAGUAACGAAUUCUCAAGAAGCACACUGGCGAGAAAAGCUUGUGAGUAUUGUAUAUAGGUGCCCGUACCGCAAACCGACACAGGUAGAUGAGGAGAAGAUCCUAAGAUGAGCGAGAGAAGCAUUGUUAAGGAACUCGGCAAAUUGACCCCGUAACUUAGGGAGAAGGGGUACCGGUGUAACAGCCGGUCGCAGUGAAUCGGUCCAAGCAACUGUUUAACAAAAACACAGGUUUCUGCUAAAUCGAAAGAUGAAGUAUAGGAGCUGACGCCUGCCCAGUGCUGGAAGGUUAAGGGGAAGGGUUAUUCGUAAGAAGAAGCUUUGAACCAAAGCCCCAGUGAACGGCGGCCGUAACUAUAACGGUCCUAAGGUAGCGAAAUUCCUUGUCAGGUAAGUUCUGACCCGC